AUUGAACGCUGGCGGCAGGCCUAACACAUGCAAGUCGAGCGGAUGAAGGGAGCUUGCUCCUGGAUUCAGCGGCGGACGGGUGAGUAAUGCCUAGGAAUCUGCCUGGUAGUGGGGGAUAACGUCCGGAAACGGGCGCUAAUACCGCAUACGUCCUGAGGGAGAAAGUGGGGGAUCUUCGGACCUCACGCUAUCAGAUGAGCCUAGGUCGGAUUAGCUAGUUGGUGGGGUAAAGGCCUACCAAGGCGACGAUCCGUAACUGGUCUGAGAGGAUGAUCAGUCACACUGGAACUGAGACACGGUCCAGACUCCUACGGGAGGCAGCAGUGGGGAAAAUUGGACAAUGGGCGAAAGCCUGAUCCAGCCAUGGCGCGUGUGUGAAGAAGGUCUUCGGAUUGUAAAGCACUUUAAGUUGGGGGGAAGGGCAGUAAGUUAAUACCUUGCUGUUUUGACGUUACCAACAGAAUAAGCACCGGCUAACUUCGU
RNAcentral lists this ribosomal RNA (483 nucleotides) under uncultured bacterium. RNAcentral describes it as "partial 16S ribosomal RNA". It matches the Rfam family "Bacterial small subunit ribosomal RNA", at positions 30 to 506 of the family's 1533-position model. The record is from RNAcentral.